RNAcentral lists this ribosomal RNA (425 nucleotides) under uncultured bacterium. RNAcentral describes it as "partial 16S ribosomal RNA". It matches the Rfam family "Bacterial small subunit ribosomal RNA", at positions 354 to 796 of the family's 1533-position model. The record is from RNAcentral.
GUGGGGAAUCUUGCGCAAUGGGCGAAAGCCUGACGCAGCCAUGUCGCGUGAAUGAUGAAGGUCUUAGGAUUGUAAAAUUCUUUCACCGGGGACGAUAAUGACGGUACCCGGAGAAGAAGCCCCGGCUAACUUCGUGCCAGCAGCCGCGGUAAUACGAAGGGGGCUAGCGUUGCUCGGAAUUACUGGGCGUAAAGGGCGCGUAGGCGGACAGUUUAGUCAGAGGUGAAAGCCCAGGGCUCAACCUUGGAAUUGCCUUUGAUACUGGCUGUCUUGAGUACGGGAGAGGUGAGUGGAACUCCGAGUGUAGAGGUGAAAUUCGUAGAUAUUCGGAAGAACACCAGUGGCGAAGGCGACUCACUGGCCCGUUACUGACGCUGAGGCGCGAAAGCGUGGGGAGCAAACAGGAUUAGAUACCCGAGUAGUCC